This 465-nucleotide ribosomal RNA is filed under the name Vreelandella stevensii. Its description in RNAcentral is "partial 16S ribosomal RNA". It matches the Rfam family "Bacterial small subunit ribosomal RNA", at positions 338 to 795 of the family's 1533-position model. Lineage: Bacteria; Pseudomonadati; Pseudomonadota; Gammaproteobacteria; Oceanospirillales; Halomonadaceae. The record is from RNAcentral.
CCUACGGGAGGCAGCAGUGGGGAAUAUUGGACAAUGGGCGAAAGCCUGAUCCAGCCAUGCCGCGUGUGUGAAGAAGGCCUUCGGGUUGUAAAGCACUUUCAGUGGGGAAGAAAGCCUUGGGGCUAAUACCCUCGAGGAAGGACAUCACCCACAGAAGAAGCACCGGCUAACUCCGUGCCAGCAGCCGCGGUAAUACGGAGGGUGCGAGCGUUAAUCGGAAUUACUGGGCGUAAAGCGCGCGUAGGCGGUCUGAUAAGCCGGUUGUGAAAGCCCCGGGCUCAACCUGGGAACGGCAUCCGGAACUGUCAGGCUAGAGUGCAGGAGAGGAAGGUAGAAUUCCCGGUGUAGCGGUGAAAUGCGUAGAGAUCGGGAGGAAUACCAGUGGCGAAGGCGGCCUUCUGGACUGACACUGACGCUGAGGUGCGAAAGCGUGGGUAGCAACCAGGAUUAGAUACCCGGGUAGUC